UGUUUGCCUGAUGUUCCCCAUGCGUGUCGACUGAUCCCACAAUUCCAUCUGGUUCCCGGCCGCCCGCUGGCUUUCUGACAGGGGGCGUGUCCAGGACUGGAGGAUUCUGGGGCUGUGAUCAUACCCUACAGGUUCUGGAAACA
This is a small nucleolar RNA of Polyodon spathula (Mississippi paddlefish), 143 nucleotides long. RefSeq annotates it as small nucleolar RNA SNORD10. NCBI's taxonomy places the organism in Eukaryota, Metazoa, Chordata, Actinopteri, Acipenseriformes, Polyodontidae. The transcript has a single exon. The record is from RefSeq and is a predicted model, not a curated record.